GAUGAAGAACGUAGUGAAAUGCGAUAAGUAAUGUGAAUUGCAGAAUUCCGUGAAUCAUCGAAUCUUUGAACGCACAUUGCGCCCUCUGGUAUUCCGGGGGGCAUGCCUGUCCGAGCGUCAUUUGCAACCCUCAAGCCCGGCUUGUGUGAUGGGUGCCGUCCCCUACGGGACGCGCCCCGAAGGCAAUGGCGGCGUCGCGGUUAUCCGAUCAGCCAAAGUGUAUGGGGCUUUGUCACUCACUUUACGGCCCGGACCGGCGCCAGUCCGAAUCAAUCUUUUUUCUAAAGUUGACCUCGGAUCAGGUAGGGAUACCCGCUGAACUUAAGCAUAUCAUAAGCGGAGGA
Molecule: unclassified non-coding RNA, 344 nt
Filed under: soil metagenome
Description: partial contains 5.8S ribosomal RNA, internal transcribed spacer 2, and large subunit ribosomal RNA
Rfam family: 5.8S ribosomal RNA (bases 1-120)
Source: RNAcentral